This 1373-nucleotide ribosomal RNA is filed under the name uncultured bacterium. Its description in RNAcentral is "bacterial SSU rRNA". It matches the Rfam family "Bacterial small subunit ribosomal RNA", at positions 28 to 1381 of the family's 1533-position model. The record is from RNAcentral.
GAUGAACGCUGGCGGCGUGCCUAAUACAUGCAAGUCGAGCGAACAGAUAAGGAGCUUGCUCCUUUGACGUUAGCGGCGGACGGGUGAGUAACACGUGGAUAACCUACCUAUAAGACUGGGAUAACUUCGGGAAACCGGAGCUAAUACCGGAUAACAUAUUGAACCGCAUGGUUCAAUAGUGAAAGGCGGCUUUGCUGUCACUUAUAGAUGGAUCCGCGCCGUAUUAGCUAGUUGGUCAGGUAACGGCUUACCAAGGCAACGAUACGUAGCCGACCUGAGAGGGUGAUCGGCCACACUGGAACUGAGACACGGUCCAGACUCCUACGGGAGGCAGCAGUAGGGAAUCUUCCGCAAUGGGCGAAAGCCUGACGGAGCAACGCCGCGUGAGUGAUGAAGGUCUUCGGAUCGUAAAACUCUGUUAUCAGGGAAGAACAAAUGUGUAAGUAACUGUGCACAUCUUGACGGUACCUGAUCAGAAAGCUACGGCUAACUACGUGCCAGCAGCCGCGGUAAUACGUAGGUGGCAAGCGUUAUCCGGAAUUAUUGGGCGUAAAGCGCGCGUAGGCGGUUUUUUAAGUCUGAUGUGAAAGCCCACGGCUCAACCCGUGGAGGGUCAUUGGAAACUGGAAAACUUGAGUGCAGAAGAGGAAAGUGGAAUUCCAUGUGUAGCGGUGAAAUGCGCAGAGAUAUGGAGGAACACCAGUGGCGAAGGCGACUUUCUGGUCUGUAACUGACGCUGAUGUGCGAAAGCGUGGGGAUCAAACAGGAUUAGAUACCCUGGUAGUCCACGCCGUAAACGAUGAGUGCUAAGUGUUAGGGGGUUUCCGCCCCUUAGUGCUGCAGCUAACGCAUUAAGCACUCCGCCUGGGGAGUACGACCGCAAGGUUGAAACUCAAAGGAAUUGACGGGGACCCGCACAAGCGGUGGAGCAUGUGGUUUAAUUCGAAGCAACGCGAAGAACCUUACCAAAUCUUGACAUCCUUUGACCACUCUAGAGAUAGAGUUUUCCCCUUCGGGGGACAAAGUGACAGGUGGUGCAUGGUUGUCGUCAGCUCGUGUCGUGAGAUGUUGGGUUAAGUCCCGCAACGAGCGCAACCCUUAAGCUUAGUUGCCAUCAUUAAGUUGGGCACUCUAAGUUGACUGCCGGUGACAAACCGGAGGAAGGUGGGGAUGACGUCAAAUCAUCAUGCCCCUUAUGAUUUGGGCUACACACGUGCUACAAUGGACAAUACAAAAGGCAGCUAAACCGCGAGGUCAAGCAAAUCCCAUAAAGUUGUUCUCAGUUCGGAUUGUAGUCUGCAACUCGACUACAUGAAGCUGGAAUCGCUAGUAAUCGUAGAUCAGCAUGCUACGGUGAAUACGUUCCCGGGUCU